GGUGGAGUGUCCGAGCGGCCGAAGGUGCAGCACUCGAAAUGCUGUGUGGUUCAUAGCCACCGUGGGUUCAAAUCCCACCUCCACCGCCA
This 89-nucleotide transfer RNA is filed under the name Trueperella bonasi. RNAcentral's name for it is "tRNA-Ser". It matches the Rfam family "tRNA". From Rfam's summary of the family: Transfer RNA (tRNA) molecules are approximately 80 nucleotides in length. Their secondary structure includes four short double-helical elements and three loops (D, anti-codon, and T loops). Further hydrogen bonds mediate the characteristic L-shaped molecular structure. tRNAs have two regions of fundamental functional importance: the anti-codon, which is responsible for specific mRNA codon recognition, and the 3' end, to which the tRNAs corresponding amino acid is attached (by aminoacyl-tRNA synthetases). tRNAs cope with the degeneracy of the genetic code in two manners: having more than one tRNA (with a specific anti-codon) for a particular amino acid; and 'wobble' base-pairing, i.e. permitting non-standard base-pairing at the 3rd anti-codon position. Lineage: Bacteria; Bacillati; Actinomycetota; Actinomycetes; Actinomycetales; Actinomycetaceae. The record is from RNAcentral.